GGGGAAUCUUCCGCAAUGGACGAAAGUCUGACGGAGCAACGCCGCGUGAGUGAAGACGGCCUUCGGGUUGUAAAGCUCUGUUAUACGGGACGAAUAAUCUUGUGGUUAAUACCCAUGAGAAGUGACGGUACCGUAAGAGAAAGCCACGGCUAACUACGUGCCAGCAGCCGCGGUAAUACGUAGGUGGCAAGCGUUGUCCGGAAUUAUUGGGCGUAAAGGGCGCGCAGGCGGCUUCUUAAGUCUGUCUUAAAAGUGCGGGGCUUAACCCCGUGAUGGGAUGGAAACUGGGAAGCUCAGAGUAUCGGAGAGGAAAGCGGAAUUCCUAGUGUAGCGGUGAAAUGCGUAGAUAUUAGGAGGAACACCAGUGGCGAAAGCGGCUUUCUGGACGAAAACUGACGCUGAGGCGCGAAAGCCAGGGGAGCGAACGGGAUUAGAUACCCCGGUAGUCCUGGCCGUAAACGAUGGGUACUAGGUGUAGGAGGUAUCGACCCCUUCUGUGCCGGAGUUAACGCAAUAAGUACCCCGCCUGGGGAGUACGACCGCAAGGUUG
This 550-nucleotide ribosomal RNA is filed under the name uncultured bacterium. RNAcentral describes it as "bacterial SSU rRNA". It matches the Rfam family "Bacterial small subunit ribosomal RNA", at positions 356 to 896 of the family's 1533-position model. The record is from RNAcentral.